UGUCCAAUGCGGGGAUCGAACCCGGGUCGUAGUGGUCGUAAACCAAACGGUUUAACCAGCCUUCCACCGACCCAUGACUGGGU
RNAcentral lists this transfer RNA (83 nucleotides) under Cordylochernes scorpioides. RNAcentral describes it as "tRNA-Val". Lineage: Eukaryota; Metazoa; Arthropoda; Arachnida; Pseudoscorpiones; Chernetidae. The record is from RNAcentral.